AAACCAUGAUGGGGACAAAGUCUAAGCAUUUCUUUAAAAUCUCCCACGCAUCGUAAAGAGAUUCUUCGUCUUCUUGAGUGAAUUGAUAAAGCUUUGCCCUCAGUUG
Molecule: small nucleolar RNA, 106 nt
Filed under: Medicago truncatula (barrel medic)
Lineage: Eukaryota; Viridiplantae; Streptophyta; Magnoliopsida; Fabales; Fabaceae
Description: snoRNA gene9878
Rfam family: Plant small nucleolar RNA R71
About the family: R71 is a member of the C/D box family of snoRNAs containing the C (UGAUGA) and D (CUGA) box motifs.
Source: Rfam by way of RNAcentral